GUGGGGAAUAUUGGACAAUGGGCGGAAGCCUGAUCCAGCAAUACCGCGUGUGUGAAGAAGGCCUGAGGGUUGUAAAGCACUUUCAAUAGGAAGGAACACCUACCGGUUAAUACCCGGUAGACUGACAUUACCUAUACAAGAAGCACCGGCUAACUCCGUGCCAGCAGCCGCGGUAAUACGGAGGGUGCAAGCGUUAAUCGGAAUUACUGGGCGUAAAGCGUGCGUAGGCGGCUCGUUAAGUCAGAUGUGAAAGCCCCGGGCUUAACCUGGGAAUGGCAUUUGAUACUGGCGGGCUAGAGUUGAGUAGAGGGGAGUGGAAUUUCAGGUGUAGCGGUGAAAUGCGUAGAGAUCUGAAGGAACACCAGUGGCGAAGGCGACUCCCUGGACUCAAACUGACGCUGAGGUACGAAAGCGUGGGUAGCAAACAGGAUUAGAAACCCCUGUAGUCC
This 449-nucleotide ribosomal RNA is filed under the name uncultured bacterium. RNAcentral describes it as "bacterial SSU rRNA". It matches the Rfam family "Bacterial small subunit ribosomal RNA", at positions 354 to 796 of the family's 1533-position model. The record is from RNAcentral.